CAAGUUUUAGUUUUUGGUAAACAUUAUUAUUUACAUUAAUAACAUUUCUGUUCAAAUCAGUAAAACUUGA
RNAcentral lists this transfer RNA (70 nucleotides) under Stephanitis nashi. RNAcentral's name for it is "tRNA-Val". Lineage: Eukaryota; Metazoa; Arthropoda; Insecta; Hemiptera; Tingidae. The record is from RNAcentral.